This is a long non-coding RNA of Carassius auratus (goldfish), 318 nucleotides long. RefSeq lists it as uncharacterized. The transcript has 3 exons. Lineage: Eukaryota; Metazoa; Chordata; Actinopteri; Cypriniformes; Cyprinidae. The record is from RefSeq and is a predicted model, not a curated record.
UUGAAACAUUUGGAGAGGGAGACACUGCAUGAGAGCGGGUGUAAGGAAUCAAAGCAAGAGUGUGACUGUCCUCUGACGUGUUCCAUCCUGAGAAAAACACACACACAAAAAUGAAUGGAAACUGGAAUUAUGAGAUUAUUCAAGACACAAGAUUCCAGCAAAACGAAAUCCUGACAUUCACAAACACACAAAAGAAAUGCCUGAAGCGUCCCUUCUCAUCAUCACAGCAAGAGUGAAAGUCGUGACAUUAGCCAAGUAUGGUAACCCAUAUUCGGAAUUGGUGCUCAACCCAUCCAAGUGCACACACACAGCAGUGAG